Gadus macrocephalus (Pacific cod) is the source of this 4207-nucleotide RNA transcript. It is a transcript of the gene named zinc finger MYM-type protein 1-like, with no coding region annotated. The transcript has 2 exons. The record is from RefSeq and is a predicted model, not a curated record. Lineage: Eukaryota; Metazoa; Chordata; Actinopteri; Gadiformes; Gadidae.
UCCCAGCUGAAUUCGCCAUCCAGCGCUCCUGAGGCUGAGAAGCGGAGGAGAAGACGCUGUGCGCGGCUGCAGAUCCGACUGGAACUGGCUUCACAGGGCACAUCGAGAACGAGAACUGCUGCAGCUUGGUCUUUACGGAAACCUGGCUGGAGAAAAGACCCCGGACUCGGGCUGGAUGGCCGCACUGCCUAUCGAGCAGACAGAACAGCUGACAUGGCUUUGUUGUCAUGGCGGCGGCGGACAUAGUUGCAACAUAGUUGCAACGGCCCGGAGCUCCCAAAAUCGGGAAUGUUUUGUAGUUUUUGGUAGCACUUAAUAUUAUUCCACACAGUUGUUGUUUUUUUCCACACUGCUCUCAAACCCCGACAAUGAAGUACAGCCGAAAUGCACUUUUAAAGCUCAACAACGCUCCAUUUCGCCUCCCGGCGGACUUCACCAUCCCAGCCGAGAUCACCAGAUCACCAUCCAGCACUCCUGAGGCUGAGAAGCGGAGGAGGAGACGCUGUGCGCGGCUGCAGAAGAGGGGAAAACGCGGAGGUACGUGGGCUAGGCUCAAAGCGAACCCAUUCAAACCCCCGCUUCCUACCAUCUUUCUCUCAAAUGUCCGUUCGAUCCGCAACAAGGUGGAUGUGAUCCGACUGGAACUAGUUUCACAAAAACACAUGAAGAACUGCUGCAGCUUAAUCUUUUCGGAAACCUGGCUGGAUAAAAAGACCCCGGACUCGGCUAUUGAGCUAGAUGGCCGCACUGCCUAUCGAGCAGACAGAACAGCUGACUCGGGUAAGAAGCUAGGAGGAGGUCUGUGUAUCUAUACCCAGAAGCGGAUCUUCCAUUAGGCAAACCUAGGCAAGUGCCUAGGGCCCCAACCAAAUCUGUCUUUAUUAGGGGCCCCCAAAUCUGACCCCCCCAGCCAUUACUUAUGUAAUGUAAAAAACAACAACAUUUCUAGUAGAAAAAAAUAACAAAAAUAUCAACAUAACGCCAAACUAAUGCCUAAAUAAUAAUUUUCCAGCACACAUGCCCCCCUCCAUUGUGCAUUGGACUAGUCCAGAAUAUGAUGACGUAGUAACGCGCGCAGCGCGAAAUAACGUACUUCAAACCAAAGCAUAGGGAUGCGACUCGGUGAAAAUUAAGCGGCGGAAUUAUGAAAGUGGUUGUGCUAAACGAAAACAAAAAGCUGAGAAGAGAAGAAUUGCAGAUACACUGCCGAAAUUGACAUCAUUUUUUACACCUGCUGCUGCCACAGCAGCCGCGGCUGCUGAACUUGCGACAGGCUCUGCUGUUGGGGAAAAUGAUGAAGUGGAGGUGGAGGUGGAGGAGGAAGGAGGAGAGGUGGGUGCCGAAGGAGAAGAGGUGGCUAUGGAAGCCGAAGGAGAGGAAGAUGAAGACGAAGAUGAUUUGGCGGUGAGUAGUGGUGCUAUGCCAUUUACCACUAGCAGCAGUGGAAACAGUUUCCUAAUCGGCGACGACCCUGCACAUUGGCCAGAAAAGUUGAAAGACUCCGAGCGUUGCUCAAUUGUACAGAAAGGACCAGUGCAAUUACGAGGAGAUUUCCCCCAGAACACACAGGGCAGACGCUAUACAAGCACGCACUACUUUUUAAAUAUGAAAAAUGGCGAAAAAAUCCAGAGGUCCUGGCUUGUGUACAGUAAAACGAAAGACCGCGCUGUUUGUUUCUGUUGUCGGCUGUUUGGCGAUAAGCAGCGGUUCUGCACUGACGGCACGAACGACUGGAAAAAUGUAUCAGCCUUCCUAAAAGAACACGAGAAGUCUGCUGAUCACCUCGCAAAUAUGGCUGUUUGGCGAACGCUUCAGCAACGGCUCCAAACAGGUAAAGCCAUAGAUCAUGUAAAUCAAGAGCUGUUUGUGAACGAAGUAAACAAAUGGAGAGAGAUCUUGAAACGUCUGAUUGCCAUUAUUACACACUUGGCCGAGCGCAACUUAGCUUUUCGAGGCCAUUCAGAGAAGCUGUAUGAGUAUGGCAAUGGGAAUUUCUUAGGCCAAGUUCAGCUGAUGGCUCAGUUUGACCCUGUGAUGAGGGAUCAUGUGAAGAGGGUAGCUGAGAAACCACAUUCUGAGAGUUAUUUCAGCAAAAUGAUCCAAAAUGAAAUAAUCUGCUUGGUGGGAAGCUGUGUGACAAACACAAUUGUACAGAGGGUGAAAAAGUCCAAGUACUUCAGCGUCAUCAUGGACUGCACCCCGGAUGUCAGCCAUGAUGAGCAGCUGUCCGUGGUGCUGAGGAUAGUUGACUGCAAUCCUGGCGAAGGAGUGUCCAUCCACGAGCACUUUGUUGGCUUUCUGGUGGCAGAGGACACAACAGGGAAAGGCCUACUCAACUUGUUUUUGGGACACCUGCAGACACUAGAUUUAGACCUUGCUGAUUGUCGUGGGCAAUCCUACGACAACGGCAGUAAUAUGCAGGGGAAGAAACAGGGGGUCCAGAGCAGAGUCCUGGAGCUGAACAGCAAAGCACUCUGUGUCCCAUGUGCCAGCCACACGUUGAAUCUGGUGGUUGGUGAUGCUGCCAAGUCCUCUGUGACAGCUUUGAGUUUUUUUGGACUGUUACAGCGACUGUAUGCUAUAUUCAGUGCUUCUGUUCACCGCUGGACAAUCCUUCAAAAACAUGUGACAUAUUUUACCAUUAAACCACUCAGUACAACAAGAUGGGAGGCUAGGGUGGAGUCCGUGAAAGCCGUCCGAUACCAGUUGCCUGAAAUUUUGGAUGCCCUGACCGCUCUGAGGGAGUAUGCUGAGGAGAAGCAAGACUCUGAAUGCGCCUCCAAUGCCAACGGCAUUCACAAAGAGAUGAAGAAAUGGCCUUUUCUGGUGAGUACAGUCGUCUGGUACAAUGUCCUAUUUCACAUAAACAAAGUCAGCAAGCUAUUGCAGAGCCCCAAAGUGUCAGUGGAAGUCAUGAGGAGAGAGGUCCUUGCAGUGAUGGCAUUUCUGAAAGAUUAUCGAGAGGACGGAUUCAAUUCUGCUAAAACAGAUGCCAGGGAGAUAGCAGAGAAGAUUGAUUUGGAGAUGGCCUGGCCAGAGGUGCGCCAGAGAAAGAAAAAAAGGCAGUUUGAGUAUGAGGGGAGAGAGGAGACAGUGUGCACUGCAGAAGAGAAUUUCAGGAGGGAGUUUUUCCUACAUAUGGUGGACACAACCCUGGUCACAGUCAGGGAGAGAUUUUCAAACAUGGAGGGUGUUUUUGAGCUAUACGGCUUUCUCUACUCCACUGACCAGAUGCAAAAUGUCAUGCAGGGAAAGGAAUUAGAUGAAUGUUGCCACAGGCUUGAGAAGAAAAUGAAUGAUAUUGAUGCAGAGGACCUCAAGCAGGAAAUAAUUCAUGCCGUCAAAGCAUUCCCCCCACACGUCUCUUCGCCUUUCCAGAUGCUGGAUUAUGUGUACAGGGAAAACAUCCUUGACACAUACCCAAAUUUGAGUAUAGCUCUGAGACUACUGCUCAGUCUCCCUGUGACUGUGGCAUCAGGGGAAAGAAGUUUCUCAUCACUAAAACGACUCAAGACUUACCUGAGGUCCACUAUGUCUCAAGACCGCCUGUCUGCCCUGGCUGUCAUCUCUAUUGAACAUGAAAUAACAAUAACUGGACAUGGACUCAGUUAUCACAAAAUUUGCAGAGGCCAAAGCUCGCAGGGUCAGACUAUAGAAUGAAAAACAAGGUCUCUCAGCUACACAGCUGAUGUCAGAUGAUUCAACCUGAAAUGAUGAGGAUGAGAAUGUUUAAAAGAAAGUUCAGAAAGUUCAAAGCGUUCAAAGUUCAGAAAGAUCAAAAACAAUGGAAAUCUGUCAAUGACCAGGACAUGAAGCAGAGACAAUUAAGACUGGCACAAAGGAGAGAAUGAAACCUGAUAAAGGGCAGAAAAGGCACAUGAGGAUAUGAGUGAGACAGGCGCAAAGCAGAGGAGCUUGAAGGCAAAACAGGGACACAGAUGAAGAGUAACAGGGAUACAGACAGAGAAAAAGAAGAUAGGGAGAAAGAGAAGGUUAUUAUUAAAAAAAACAUUGAUACUUGACUUGGAUAUUUAUUUAUAAUGCUACAUGAUUGACCUGGUGUUGAUUUUUGUCGUAGUGAGAAAACAACAGGGGAAAAGACAGAUGAACAACAUCACCUUCUAUCAGUGAGCCCUGGCUGAACAAGGUUGGGUUCUAUACUGCUGCUCACCACUAUUCUCUGAUAUGAAGACGACAACAGUAGGAC